Molecule: ribosomal RNA, 198 nt
Filed under: uncultured bacterium
Lineage: Bacteria
Description: partial 16S ribosomal RNA
Rfam family: Bacterial small subunit ribosomal RNA
Source: RNAcentral
ACGCUCGACACCUACGGGAGGCAGCAGUGGGGAAUAUUGCACAAUGGGGGAAACCCUGAUGCAGCGACGCCGCGUGAAGGAAGAAGUAUUUCGGUAUGUAAACUUCUAUCAGCAGGGAAGAAACUGACGGUACCUGACUAAGAAGCACCGGCUAAAUACGUGUCAGCAGCCGCGGUAAUCUGAGCGGGCUGGCAAGGC